This is a long non-coding RNA of Apus apus (common swift), 1174 nucleotides long. RefSeq lists it as uncharacterized. Lineage: Eukaryota; Metazoa; Chordata; Aves; Apodiformes; Apodidae. The record is from RefSeq and is a predicted model, not a curated record. The transcript is spliced from 2 exons.
CGGGCCCGCUUCCCCCCCGCGGCCCCGGGCUCCGCCGCCGCCGCCAGGCCCGGGAGAGCGGCCCGGGAGGGCCCGGCAGCUCCAGCCGCACCCCCCGGCCCGGGCAGCGCCCGCCGGGCUCCGUCCGCCGCGGUGAUGGGGUGAAGAGCCAGGAGUGUGUGGAGAAAGGACAAAGAGCCCCAGAAGGAUCUACAUGACCCACUUCAGGGCACAACUGCUUUGAACUUCUAAUGGGCUAGAAAAACUGCGUUUUAGAUCAGUUUUUAAACUAACACAAGCCAUGUGUGUUGUUCCUUAAACCUGACUUUAAAGCAAACUCUCUCUUGGCUUCGUGAGCUCAUUAUUCCAAGGAAAACCCUGGCUUUGUAGAUCCUCCGGGAGAAGGUCCAUGAGCCAGGCCUGUCCUUAGACCCCAGGCUGCAGGUGGAUCUGAGCUGAGCAGCAGGACCCUUGCCCAGCAGUGACCACAUGAAACGUCUCCUCAAGGGAUGAAUUCUGAGUGUGACUCUCCCAGUCUAGAAGCAGCGACAGGAGAACAGUCCUGCAUUUGAAACCAGGAAGAUGCAAGAAUGUGAUUCUGCUCCCACCCCAUCCCAUGGGCUGGAAAAUUAAUUUAAUCAACCCCUCAGCUGGUGGAACACUGCCAGGCCCCGGGAGGGGGGGACACAUGGUAGCCAACCAUCUGCAGCCCUCCCAGCUCUGCCAACCAGCCCAAACUAAAAGAAUGAGAGAGAGAACCCAGAGCAGGGAUCUCCCCAGAGAUGGAAACUCCUGGAUUGACAUCCUGGGUGUCUGUCUGGGAAGGAAAUACAGCUCUGCUGGUCAGCUCUGAGGGUGAGAGAUGUCAUGAAGGUGAACUCCAGGCUACUGUGACUUUUGUCAUCCUUGGGUGUUAUUUUAGGCUUUUGCCUGGGUAAAAUACAACAGCUGAGAACUAACCUGUCAGUGUUAAAACUGAGCUACAAGUUUCUGCUACAGAAGCUGCUGAGAGGGAGGGAACAAAGCAGCUGUGUGGCCAAGGGCCUGCAUGAGCCAUCUGCAUCUGGAAAGUGCUCUUCAGCUUGAGAGGGUCAGGUUUGUGAACACCUCAGGAGGCAGGCAGAGGGUAUCCAAAGCAAGCAGUGCCACACACUCCACAUCCAACUCAUUAAAACAAUUUGAACUGUUAAGAAAA